RNAcentral lists this ribosomal RNA (253 nucleotides) under uncultured bacterium. Its description in RNAcentral is "partial 16S ribosomal RNA". It matches the Rfam family "Bacterial small subunit ribosomal RNA", at positions 524 to 776 of the family's 1533-position model. The record is from RNAcentral.
UACAGAGGGUGCGAGCGUUGUCCGGAAUCACUGGGCGUAAAGGGCGCGUAGGCGGUCUCUUAAGCGUGUGGUGAAAGCCCGGGGCUCAACUCCGGGUCGGCCGUGCGAACUGGGGGACUGGAGCUUGUCAGAGGCAGGCGGAAUUCCGGGUGUAGCGGUGGAAUGCGUAGAGAUCCGGAAGAACACCGGUGGCGAAGGCGGCCUGCUGGGACAGUGCUGACGCUGAGGAGCGAAAGCGUGGGGAGCGAACAGG